GUCAGUAUGGCAAAGCGGUCUAAGGCACUGUGUUCAGGUCGCAGUCUCCCCUGGAGGCGUGGGUUCAAAUCCCGCUUCUGUUU
Molecule: transfer RNA, 83 nt
Filed under: Ameiurus melas (black bullhead)
Lineage: Eukaryota; Metazoa; Chordata; Actinopteri; Siluriformes; Ictaluridae
Rfam family: tRNA
About the family: Transfer RNA (tRNA) molecules are approximately 80 nucleotides in length. Their secondary structure includes four short double-helical elements and three loops (D, anti-codon, and T loops). Further hydrogen bonds mediate the characteristic L-shaped molecular structure. tRNAs have two regions of fundamental functional importance: the anti-codon, which is responsible for specific mRNA codon recognition, and the 3' end, to which the tRNAs corresponding amino acid is attached (by aminoacyl-tRNA synthetases). tRNAs cope with the degeneracy of the genetic code in two manners: having more than one tRNA (with a specific anti-codon) for a particular amino acid; and 'wobble' base-pairing, i.e. permitting non-standard base-pairing at the 3rd anti-codon position.
Source: Rfam by way of RNAcentral